GGCUUUGAGGAACAGGGAUGGACGUGGGGUGGGUGGAGGUGGAGCCAUCCUGGAUUUUCAUGGAUUGGGAAAGUUCCUGGUGGAUGAUCCAGGAAAAAAAUUGGGAUUACAGCAGAAAAACAUCUCCAGAAUGGAGCUGGGAUGGGGUUUGGAGGCAUCUCAAGGGCUUUGAGCAACGGGUGGGGUGGGUGGAGGUGGAGCCAUCCUGGAUUUUCACGGAUUGGGAAAGUUCCUGGUGGGUGCCAGAUGUUGAUCCAGGAAAAAAAUUUGGGAUUAUGGUGGAAAAACGGCUCUGGAUGGAGUUUGGAUUUGGGUUUGGAGGCAUCUCAAGGGCUUUGAGGAGCAGGUUGGACGUGGGGUGGGUGGAGAUGGAGCCAUCCUGGAUUUUCAUGGAUUGGGAGGCUCCUGGUGGAUGUCGAGUGUUGAUCCAGGAAAAAAACCUGGGAUUAUGGUGGAAAAACAGCUCUGAAGAACUCUGGGAUGGGGUUUGGAGGCAUCUCAGGGGGUUUGAGGAGCAGGGUUGGACGUGGGGUGGGUGGAGCUGGAGCCAUCC
Molecule: long non-coding RNA, 553 nt
Filed under: Parus major (Great Tit)
Lineage: Eukaryota; Metazoa; Chordata; Aves; Passeriformes; Paridae
Description: lncRNA (ENSPMJG00000001869.1)
Source: RNAcentral